UACAGAGGGUGCAAGCGUUGUUCGGAAUUAUUGGGCGUAAAGGGCGCGUAGGCGGUGCGGUAAGUCUAUGGUGAAAUCUCCGGGCUCAACUCGGAGUCUGCCACGGAAACUGCCGUGCUUGAGUGUGGGAGAGGUGAGUGGAAUUCCCGGAGUAGAGGUAAAAUUCGUAGAUCUCAAGAGGAACACCGAUGGCGAAGGCAGCUUCUUGGUCCACAUCUGACGCUCAUGCACGAAAGCGUGGGGAGCAAACAGG
This 253-nucleotide ribosomal RNA is filed under the name uncultured prokaryote. Its description in RNAcentral is "partial 16S ribosomal RNA". It matches the Rfam family "Bacterial small subunit ribosomal RNA", at positions 524 to 776 of the family's 1533-position model. The record is from RNAcentral.